GCUAUGGUAGUCCAGCCAGGUAGGACGGUAGACCGCUAAUCUACUCCCCUUAGGGUCGGAGGUUCAAAUCCUCCCCAUAGCGCCA
Molecule: transfer RNA, 85 nt
Filed under: Promethearchaeota archaeon
Lineage: Archaea; Promethearchaeati; Promethearchaeota
Also listed under: 1 other name
Description: Candidatus Lokiarchaeota archaeon (marine sediment metagenome) tRNA-Ser
Rfam family: tRNA
About the family: Transfer RNA (tRNA) molecules are approximately 80 nucleotides in length. Their secondary structure includes four short double-helical elements and three loops (D, anti-codon, and T loops).
Source: RNAcentral